RNAcentral lists this ribosomal RNA (474 nucleotides) under uncultured bacterium. RNAcentral describes it as "bacterial SSU rRNA". It matches the Rfam family "Bacterial small subunit ribosomal RNA", at positions 50 to 518 of the family's 1533-position model. The record is from RNAcentral.
AAUACAUGCAAGUCGAACGGUAACAGAGCUAGCAAUAGCUGCUGACGAGUGGCGGAUGGGUGCGUAACGCGUAUGCAACCUACCUGUAAUUGGAACAUAACGUUGAGAAAUUAGCGCUAAUAUUCCAUGUGGAUAUGAGACGGCAUCGUUUUAUAUUUAAAGAUUAAUUGAUUACAGAUGGGCAUGCGUAUCAUUAGCUAGUUGGUAAGGUAACGGCUCACCAAGGCAACGAUGAUUAGGGGUUCUGAGAGGAUAUCCCCCCACACUGGAACUGAGACACGGUCCAGACUCCUACGGGAGGCAGCAGUAGGGAAUAUUGGGCAAUGGAGGCAACUCUGACCCAGCCAAUGCCGCGUGAAGGAAUACAGCCCUACGGGUUUUAAACUUCUUUUAUUAUAGAGUAACCGGAGGUACGUGUACCUCCCUGCAAGUAUAUAAUGAAUAAGGAUCGGCUAACUCCGUGCCAGCCGCUGC